GGAUGUCUUAGCUCAGGCUAUUGAUGACAAGUCUGUGGCCACAAGCCAAAAGGAGCUGAAGCAGGUCCUCUCCCUUCUUCAGGACCUGAUAUAAUCCUAUCAGCAACUCGUAACAUGAGGUAUUAUAAGGAGAGGAGAAGUAGGAACGGAAGAAAGAAGCAGAGAGAAGCAAGCUGGGAGGGAAGUGUGAUUUAUUGCUCUGAUGUCAUAAUCUCCCAGUUUAUCAGCUAUGUCAUAAUCCCACUACUCAGUAGUAAGUACUUCAUAGGGCAGCAGAGAGGAAUGUGAAGAGCAGAGAGGGAGAAAGAUGACGAGGGGAAAGGAUCACGGGGAAGAAAGGAGGAAUCAGAGACCUCUGAAGUUCCAAGUCAACUGAUGUGCAUUAAGAAACAUUAGCUAAGCCAUUUACAGCAGGAUCACAAAUGUGCCUGUGAGUGUGAUGUUAAGACAAAACCUCUCUUUAACCAUAGACCUGUCAAUGAUCCAAAUCCUCAACCUUGCUCUGUGUGUACUUCUGCUCAGGAAGGCCACCGGACAUUUACUGUGUGUAACUCUGAUAAGUUGCUAGUAUGUGCUUUUAAUAUGUCCUGUACAGUGCACAAAACGUUAUAGGACAGGGAAUCAGG
Gymnogyps californianus (California condor) is the source of this 626-nucleotide long non-coding RNA. RefSeq lists it as uncharacterized. The transcript has 3 exons. Lineage: Eukaryota; Metazoa; Chordata; Aves; Accipitriformes; Cathartidae. The record is from RefSeq and is a predicted model, not a curated record.